This 397-nucleotide ribosomal RNA is filed under the name uncultured bacterium. Its description in RNAcentral is "partial 16S ribosomal RNA". It matches the Rfam family "Bacterial small subunit ribosomal RNA", at positions 523 to 918 of the family's 1533-position model. The record is from RNAcentral.
AUACGUAGGUGACAAGCGUUAUCCGGAUUUACUGGGCGUAAAGGGCGUGUAGGCGGUCUUGCAAGUCAGAAGUGAAAUUCCUGAGCUCAACUCGGGCGCUGCUUCUGAAACUGCAGGACUUGAGUGCUGGAGGGGAAAGCGGAAUUCCUAGUGGAGCGGUAAAAUGCGCAGAUAUUAGGAAGAACACCGGUGGCGAAGGCGGGUGUCUGGGACAGAACUGACGGUGGGGCGGGAAAGCGGGGGGAGCAAAAAGGAUGAGAUACCCUGUUAUGCCCCGCCGUAAACGAUGAAUACUAGGUGUAGGGGGUAUCGACUCCCUCUGUGCCGCAGUUAACACAAUAAGUAUUCCGCCUGGGGAGUACGGCCGCAAGGUUGAAACUCAAAUGAAUUGACGGGG